UACGACUACAUAUCAGGCAUAUCAAUAAGCGGAGGAAAAGAAACUAACUAGGAUUCCCUCAGUAACGGCGAGUGAAGCGGGAAGAGCUCAAAUUUGAAAUCUUCAAGGUUUUACCUUGACGAAUUGUAGUUUAAAGAAGUGUUUUCUGUUGGAGUUUUGGUAAAAGUUCUUUGGAAUAGGACAUCAUAGAGGGUGAGAAUCCCGUAUUUGACCAUUAUUUCCAGCUUUGUGAUACACUUUCAAAGAGUCGGAUUGUUUGGGGAUGCAGUCCAAAAUGGGUGGUAAAUUUCAUCUAAAGCUAAAUAUUGGCGAGAGACCGAUAGCGAACAAGUACCGUGAGGGAAAGAUGAAAAGAACUUUGAAAAGAGAGUUAAACAGUACGUGAAAUUGUCAAAAGGGAAGCGUUUGACACCAGUGUUGUUUCUACGAAAAUCAAUUUAUGAUGGCUUGAUGCUAAGCUUUAAGACUUUAUCCGCUUGUUGUUUAGUUUUCUUGUCUUUGUGAAUGCACUUUUCGUGGAACAAGUCAACAUCAAUUUCUUUUGCUGUAAAAGGGUAAGAGGAAGGUGGCUUCGGCUUCGGUUGAAGUGUUUAUAGCCUUUUAUCUCUGCAGUCGGAGAGAUUGAGGUCUGCAGCGUAGACUCUUCGGGGUUAGAUACGUCGGUGCUAAGCUAUAGCUUUUCAUAGACAACUUGUUGACUAUGUUUAGUCAUGUGGCUUACCCGCUGGUGCUAUUUUACCUACGCUUAGGAUGUUGACUGAUAUGUAGUCGUA
RNAcentral lists this ribosomal RNA (773 nucleotides) under uncultured Neocallimastigales. Its description in RNAcentral is "partial large subunit ribosomal RNA". It matches the Rfam family "Eukaryotic large subunit ribosomal RNA", at positions 24 to 644 of the family's 3401-position model. Lineage: Eukaryota; Fungi; Neocallimastigomycota; Neocallimastigomycetes; Neocallimastigales. The record is from RNAcentral.